RNAcentral lists this ribosomal RNA (402 nucleotides) under uncultured bacterium. RNAcentral describes it as "bacterial SSU rRNA". It matches the Rfam family "Bacterial small subunit ribosomal RNA", at positions 355 to 774 of the family's 1533-position model. The record is from RNAcentral.
UCGGGAAUUUUGGGCAAUGGGCGAAAGCCUGACCCAGCAACGCCGCGUGAGGGAUGAAGUAUUUCGGUAUGUAAACCUCGAAAGAAUGGGAAGAAUGAAUGACGGUACCAUUUAUAAGCUCCGGCUAACUACGUGCCAGCAGCCGCGGUAAUACGUAGGGAGCAAGCGUUGUUCGGAUUUACUGGGCGUAAAGGGCGCGUAGGCGGCGCGGUAAGUCACUUGUGAAAUCUCUGAGCUUAACUCAGAACGGCCAAGUGAUACUGCUGUGCUAGAGUGCGGAAGAGGCAACCGGAAUUCUUGGUGUAGCGGUGAAAUGCGUAGAUAUCAAGAGGAACACCUGAGGCGAAGGCGGGUUGCUGGGCCGACACUGACGCUGAUGCGCGAAAGCCAGGGGAGCAAACG